GCCGGGCGUGGUGGCGGGCGCCUGUAGUCCCAGCCACUUGGGAGGCUGAGGCAGGAGAAUGGCGUGAACCUGGGAGGCGGAGGUUGCAUUGAGCCGAGACCGCACCACUGCACUCCAGCCUGGGCGACAGAGCAAGACUCCGUCUCAAAAAAAAAAAACAACAAAAAAAAACAGAAAUGGAGUCUCGCUGUGUUGCCCUGGCUGGAGUGCAGUGUCAUAAUCUCGGCUCACUGCAACCUCUGCCUGCCGGGUUCAAUUGAUUCUCCUUCCUCA
RNAcentral lists this small RNA (273 nucleotides) under Pongo abelii (Sumatran orangutan). The record is from RNAcentral. Lineage: Eukaryota; Metazoa; Chordata; Mammalia; Primates; Hominidae.